Molecule: ribosomal RNA, 253 nt
Filed under: uncultured bacterium
Lineage: Bacteria
Description: partial 16S ribosomal RNA
Rfam family: Bacterial small subunit ribosomal RNA
Source: RNAcentral
UACAGAGGUCCCAAGCGUUGUUCGGAUUCAUUGGGCGUAAAGGGUGCGUAGGCGGCGCGGUAAGUCGGGUGUGAAAUCUCGGAGCUUAACUCCGAAACUGCAUUCGAUACUGCCGUGCUUGAGGACUGGAGAGGAGACUGGAAUUUACGGUGUAGCGGUGAAAUGCGUAGAGAUCAUGAGGAAGACCAGUGGCGAAGGCGGGUCUCUGGACAGUUCCUGACACUGAGGCACGAAGGCCAGGGGAGCAAACAGG